CCUACGCGAGGCAGCAGUGGGGAAUAUUGCACACUGGGGGGAACCCUGAUGCAGCAACGCCGCGUGGGUGAAGAAGUACUUCGGUAUGUAAAGCCCUGUCAGCAGGGAAGAAAAUGACGGUACCUGACCAAGAAGCCCCGGCUAACUACGUGCCAGCAGCCGCGGUAAUACGUAGGGGGCAAGCGUUAUCCGGAUUUACUGGGUGUAAAGGGAGCGUAGACGGCAAGGCAAGUCUGGAGUGAAAGCCCGUGGCUCAACCACGGGACUGCUUUGGAAACUGUGUUGCGGGAGUGCAGGAGGGGUAAGCGGAAUUCCUAGUGUAGCGGUGAAAUGCGUAGAUAUUAGGAGGAACACCGGUGGCGAAGGCGGCUUACUGGACUGUAACUGACGUUGAGGCUCGAAGGCGUGGGGAGCAAACAGGAUUAGAUACCCGAGUAGUC
RNAcentral lists this ribosomal RNA (440 nucleotides) under uncultured bacterium. RNAcentral describes it as "partial 16S ribosomal RNA". It matches the Rfam family "Bacterial small subunit ribosomal RNA", at positions 338 to 795 of the family's 1533-position model. The record is from RNAcentral.